GGUUAAGUGAAUAAGGGCGCACGGUGGAUGCCUUGGCACUAGGAGCCGAUGAAGGACGGGACUAACACCGAUAUGCUUUGGGGAGCUGUACGUAAGCUAUGAUCCAGAGAUUUCCGAAUGGGGGAACCCAGCAUCUUUAAUAGGAUGUUACGAUUGUGUGAAUACAUAGCACAUUCGAGGUAGACGCAGAGAACUGAAACAUCUAAGUACCUGCAGGAAGAGAAAGAAAAUUCGAUUCCCUGAGUAGCGGCGAGCGAAACGGGAAAAGCCCAAACCAGCAAGCUUGCUUGUUGGGGUUGUAGGACUCCAAUAUGGUAGUUCUUUCAGAUAGUCGAAUGACUUGGAAAAGUCAGUCAAAGAGGGUAAAAACCCCGUAGACGAAAUGUGGAAGACACCUAGGAGGAUCCUGAGUACGGCGGAACACGAGAAAUUCCGUCGGAAUCCGGGAGGACCAUCUCCCAAGGCUAAAUACUCCCUAGUGACCGAUAGUGAACCAGUACCGUGAGGGAAAGGUGAAAAGCACCCCGGAAGGGGAGUGAAAUAGAACCUGAAACCGUGUGCCUACAACAAGUCAAAGCCCGUUAAUGGGUGAUGGCGUGCCUUUUGUAGAAUGAACCGGCGAGUUACGAUUGCAUGCGAGGUUAAGUUGAAGAGACGGAGCCGCAGCGAAAGCGAGUCUGAAUAGGGCGUUUGAGUAUGUAGUCGUAGACCCGAAACCAUGUGAUCUACCCAUGUCCAGGUUGAAGGUGCGGUAAAACGCACUGGAGGACCGAACCCACGUACGUUGAAAAGUGCGGGGAUGAGGUGUGGGUAGCGGAGAAAUUCCAAACGAACUUGGAGAUAGCUGGUUCUCUCCGAAAUAGCUUUAGGGCUAGCCUCGGAAUUGAGAAUGAUGGAGGUAGAGCACUGUUUGGACUAGGGGCCCAUCUCGGGUUACCGAAUUCAGAUAAACUCCGAAUGCCAUUCAUUCAUAUCCGGGAGUCAGACUGUGAGUGAUAAGAUCCAUAGUCGAAAGGGAAACAGCCCAGACCACCAGCUAAGGUCCCAAAAUAUAUGUUAAGUGGAAAAGGAUGUGGGGUUGCACAGACAACUAGGAUGUUGGCUUAGAAGCAGCCAUCAUUUAAAGAGUGCGUAAUAGCUCACUAGUCGAGUGACCCUGCGCCGAAAAUGUACCGGGGCUAAACAUAUUACCGAAGCUGUGGAGUACACCUUUAGGUGUAUUGGUAGGAGAGCGUUCUAAGGGCGUCGAAGGCAGAUCGUGAGGACUGCUGGAGCGCUUAGAAGUGAGAAUGCCGGUAUGAGUAGCGAAAGACAGGUGAGAAUCCUGUCCACCGAAUGACUAAGGUUUCCUGGGGAAGGCUCGUCCGCCCAGGGUUAGUCGGGACCUAAGCCGAGGCCGACAGGCGUAGGCGAUGGAUAACAGGUUGAUAUUCCUGUACCCGUUGUUUUUGUUUGAGCAAUGGAGGGACGCAGGAGGCUAAGGAAUGCAGACGAUCGGAAAUGUCUGUCCAAGCAGUAAGUCUGAAGAGGAGUCAAAUGCUUCUUUUCUUAAGGACAAGCUGUGAUGGGGAGGGAAAUAAUAGUACCGAAGUUCCUGAUGUCACACUGCCGAGAAAAGCUUCUAGUGAGAAAACAGCGGCCCGUACCGCAAACCGACACAGGUAGUCGAGGAGAGAAUCCUAAGGUGAGCGAGAGAACUCUCGUUAAGGAACUCGGCAAAAUGACCCCGUAACUUCGGGAGAAGGGGUGCUGAUCAUACGAUCAGCCGCAGUGAAUAGGCCCAAGCGACUGUUUAUCAAAAACACAGGUCUCUGCAAAAUCGUAAGAUGAAGUAUAGGGGCUGACGCCUGCCCGGUGCUGGAAGGUUAAGAGGAGUGCUUAGCGCAAGCGAAGGUACGAAUUGAAGCCCCAGUAAACGGCGGCCGUAACUAUAACGGUCCUAAGGUAGCGAAAUUCCUUGUCGGGUAAGUUCCGACCCGCACGAAAGGCGUAACGAUUUGGGCACUGUCUCAACGAGAGACUCGGUGAAAUUUUAGUACCUGUGAAGAUGCAGGUUACCCGCGACAGGACGGAAAGACCCCAUGGAGCUUUACUGUAGUUUGAUAUUGAGUGUCUGUACCGCAUGUACAGGAUAGGUAGGAGCCGUAGAAAUCGGAACGCUAGUUUCGAUGGAGGCGCUGGUGGGAUACUACCCCUGCGUUAUGGCCACUCUAACCCGCACCACUAAUCGUGGUGGGAGACAGUGUCAGAUGGGCAGUUUGACUGGGGCGGUCGCCUCCUAAAAGGUAACGGAGGCGCCCAAAGGUUCCCUCAGAAUGGUUGGAAAUCAUUCGAAGAGUGUAAAGGCAGAAGGGAGCUUGACUGCGAGACCAACAAGUCGAGCAGGGACGAAAGUCGGGCUUAGUGAUCCGGUGGUUCCGCAUGGAAGGGCCAUCGCUCAACGGAUAAAAGCUACCCUGGGGAUAACAGGCUUAUCUCCCCCAAGAGUCCACAUCGACGGGGAGGUUUGGCACCUCGAUGUCGGCUCGUCGCAUCCUGGGGCUGUAGUCGGUCCCAAGGGUUGGGCUGUUCGCCCAUUAAAGCGGCACGCGAGCUGGGUUCAGAACGUCGUGAGACAGUUCGGUCCCUAUCCGUCGCGGGCGUUGGAAAUUUGAGAGGAGCUGUCCUUAGUACGAGAGGACCGGGAUGGACUUACCGCUGGUGUACCAGUUGUUCUGCCAAGGGCAUUGCUGGGUAGCUAUGUAGGGAAGGGAUAAACGCUGAAAGCAUCUAAGUGUGAAGCCCACCUCAAGAUGAGAUUUCCCAUUUCUUUAAGAAAGUAAGAUCCCUGAGAGAUGAUCAGGUAGAUAGGUCAGGAGUGGAAGUACAGUGAUGUAUGGAGCGGACUGAUACUAAUCGAUCGAGGACUUAACCAA
This 2915-nucleotide ribosomal RNA is filed under the name Enterococcus faecium. Its description in RNAcentral is "23S ribosomal RNA". It matches the Rfam family "Bacterial large subunit ribosomal RNA". Lineage: Bacteria; Bacillati; Bacillota; Bacilli; Lactobacillales; Enterococcaceae. The record is from RNAcentral.